GACGAACGCUGGCGGCGUGCUUAACACAUGCAAGUCGAACGGAAAGGCCCUGCUUUUGUGGGGUGCUCGAGUGGCGAACGGGUGAGUAACACGUGAGUAACCUGCCCUUGACUUUGGGAUAACUUCAGGAAACUGGGGCUAAUACCGGAUAGGAGCUCCUGCUGCAUGGUGGGGGUUGGAAAGUUUCGGCGGUUGGGGAUGGACUCGCGGCUUAUCAGCUUGCUGGUGGGGUAGUGGCUUACCAAGGCUUUGACGGGUAGCCGGCCUGAGAGGGUGACCGGCCACAUUGGGACUGAGAUACGGCCCAGACUCCUACGGGAGGCAGCAGUGGGGAAUAUUGCACAAUGGGCGGAAGCCUGAUGCAGCAACGCCGCGUGCGGGAUGACGGCCGUCGGGUUGUAACCCGCUUUCGCCUGCGACGAAGCGUGAGUGACGGUAAUGGGUAAAGAAGCACCGGCUAACUACGUG
RNAcentral lists this ribosomal RNA (468 nucleotides) under uncultured bacterium. Its description in RNAcentral is "partial 16S ribosomal RNA". It matches the Rfam family "Bacterial small subunit ribosomal RNA", at positions 28 to 507 of the family's 1533-position model. The record is from RNAcentral.